GUAUAUAUUUGCGCUAUUACACGCUAUAUAACAUUAUCCAUUCUUUAACUUUUUGUAUAUGGGUGUAUAAAAAAUCAUAGCUAGAGCUUUCAAUAUUGUUUCCAACAUUGUAAUCAUCCCUAAGCUACACAUAGUGCACAGGUGUGUGUGAUGUGCGAUCAAGGUGUGCACAUGCCCCGGAAGGCCAGCUACAACCCUUCUCGACAUUCAUUUCAUUAAUGAUCCUUCCGCAGGUUCACCUACGGAAA
This 248-nucleotide unclassified non-coding RNA is filed under the name uncultured fungus. RNAcentral describes it as "sequence contains ITS1". The record is from RNAcentral. Lineage: Eukaryota; Fungi.